This 924-nucleotide unclassified non-coding RNA is filed under the name Hevea brasiliensis (rubber tree). The record is from RNAcentral. Lineage: Eukaryota; Viridiplantae; Streptophyta; Magnoliopsida; Malpighiales; Euphorbiaceae.
GACCACACAAAGUCAAUCAAUGGCGGGCGGAGGAGAAGAGGUGAAGAUUCUGGGGGGAUGGCCGAGCCCAUUCGUGAUGCGGCCGAGGAUCGCCCUCAACAUCAAGGGGAUCAGCUACGAGUUCCUCCAGGAAACGUUCGGCUCCAAGAGCGAGCUGCUGCUCAAGUCGAACCCUGUGUACAAGAAGGUCCCAGUUCUCAUCCACAACGGCAAGCCUGUCUGCGAGUCCAUGAUUAUCGUCGAGUACAUCGACGAGGUCUGGACUUCCGGCCCGGCCAUUGCCCCCGCCGAUCCCUACGACAGGGCCGUCGCCCGCUUCUGGGCUUUCUACGUCGACGACAAGAUUUUUCCAGCCCUUACGGGAAUAGGGAUGGGACCUACGCCAGAGGCAAAGGCGGAAGGGGCUGCUCAAAUGUCAGCUGGGCUGCAGCUGCUGGAGGAGGCCUUCAAAGAUUGCAGCAAGGGGAAGGGAUUCUUCGGCGGGGACACCGUUGGGUACGUCGACAUUGCCUUUGGUAGCCACUUGGGGUGGCUAAAGGCCAUUGAGAUAAUGACGAGCACCAAAUUUCUUGAUGAUGAGAAGACGCCUCUGCUAGCGGGAUGGGCGGAGCGCUUCUGCAGUGAUCCUGCUGUGAAGGAGGUGAUGCCAGAGACUGAGAAGCUGGUAGACUUUGCGAAGAUGCUCGUAGCAAAGAUCAAUGCGCCUCCGGCUAAUUGAUGUUCUCGGUUUUGAGAGAAUGGAAGGAAAAACUGAAUAAACAUUGUAGACUAAAGCUUUUGUUGUUCUUCAACAUUAGUGUAUGCCUGCAAUGUUGUGGUACAAUUAUAUCCUUAAUCCCUACUAGGUGUUUGUCUGUUUGAUUUAAUUCGAACUUAUGCACGAGCAAAGUUUGAUUAGUGAGGUGGUUUGUAGUUUGUUUGCUC